GACGUGCGUGUGUGUGGAGAGUGGCUGUGAAAGUGGCACGGGCUCUGGGAAGAGAAGUAAGGAGGACUGCUGGGAAGGAAACCAGGUUCUCGGAUGAGCAGGGGCUGUGAUAUGAAAGUGAUCAAGAGAUGGGACCAUCUAGUUGCAAGAGAACAAGCUCAGGGCUCCCACUGAUUCUACAUGAUGUAUUUGUCUUCACUUUCAAAGAGCGUAAAGUGAAAGAAAGGAGGAAGUCCACACCCUUGGGUUUGGGGGCAUCGGAUCCAGUGUGCAAUGUGAGAAGUAAAAUGAAGAGGAGAAAUGAUCUGGAGAGACUUUCUGAUGAAGCAAACACCAGAUAUCCUAGAAUUUCAGCAAAUCUAAGACUCCAUCAAGUGUUAGAUGCCCCAUUAUUUUAUGUAUUAUUAAUAAAGAAAAAAACACUGCCA
This is a long non-coding RNA of Pan troglodytes (chimpanzee), 428 nucleotides long. RefSeq lists it as uncharacterized. Lineage: Eukaryota; Metazoa; Chordata; Mammalia; Primates; Hominidae. The transcript has 4 exons. The record is from RefSeq and is a predicted model, not a curated record.